RNAcentral lists this ribosomal RNA (501 nucleotides) under uncultured bacterium. Its description in RNAcentral is "partial 16S ribosomal RNA". It matches the Rfam family "Bacterial small subunit ribosomal RNA", at positions 29 to 523 of the family's 1533-position model. The record is from RNAcentral.
AUUGAACGCUGGCGGCAUGCCUUACACAUGCAAGUCGAACGGCAGCACGGGUGCUUGCACCUGGUGGCGAGUGGCGAACGGGUGAGUAAUACAUCGGAACGUACCUUAUCGUGGGGGAUAACGCAGCGAGAGCUGUGCUAAUACCGCAUACGCCCUGAGGGGGAAAGCGGGGGAUCGCAAGACCUCGCGCGAUUAGAGCGGCCGAUGCCUGAUUAGGCAGUUGGUGGGGUAAAAGCCCACCAAGGCGACGAGCAGUAGCUGGUCUGAGAGGACGAUCAGCCACACUGGGACUGAGACACGGCCCAGACUCCUACGGGAGGCAGCAGUGGGGAAUUUUGGACAAGGGGGGCAACCCUGAUCCAGCAAUGCCGCGUGAGUGAAGAAGGCCUUCGGGUUGUAAAGCUCUUUUGUCAGGAAAGAAACACCGGCUCUAACACAGUCCGGGAAUGACGGUACCUGAAGAAUAAGCACCGGCUAACUACGUGCCAGCAGCCGCAGUAA